RNAcentral lists this ribosomal RNA (555 nucleotides) under uncultured bacterium. Its description in RNAcentral is "bacterial SSU rRNA". It matches the Rfam family "Bacterial small subunit ribosomal RNA", at positions 774 to 1319 of the family's 1533-position model. The record is from RNAcentral.
AGCUAAUAGAUACCCCGGUAGUCCACGCCGUAAACGAUGGGUACUAGGUGCCUGGGGGAGCGACCCCUUGGGUGCCGGCGCUAAACGCAGGAAAGUACCCCGCCUGGGGAGUACGGCCGCAAGGCUGAAACUCAAAGGAAUUGACGGGGGUCCCGCACAAGCGGUGGAGCAUGUGGUUUAAUUCGACGCAACGCGAAGAACCUUACCUAGGCUUGACAUGCAUGGGAAACUCCUGAGAAACCCAGGAGCCUCCUUCGGGAUCCAUGCACAGGUGCUGCAUGGCUGUCGUCAGCUCGUGUCGUGAGAUGUUGGGUUAAGUCCCGCAACGAGCGCAACCCCGUGUUCUUAGUUGCCAGCGCGUAAUGGCGGGGACUCUAGGAAGACUGCCGGUGCCAAACCCGGAGGAAGUGGGGACGACGUCAAGUCAUCAUGGUCCUUACGUCUAGGGCUACACACGUGCUACAAUGGGCCGGACAGUGGGGGUCCGAGGCAGCAAUGCCGAGGCAAUCCCAAAACCGGGUCCUCAGUUCGGAUUGUCGUCUGCAACUCGACGGC